GAGAGGAAGGGAAAAAGGGGACGUGCAGGGGUCACGCAACGGUUCUCGAGCCUGAACAGGAAGCGCGUCGGGGAUGCGAGCUGGGAGCAGGGCUCCAGGGAAACAGCUUGAGGAAGGGACGCAAUUCGAGCGGCUUUCUUUUCCGGCGGGACGUUAACAGGAUGAAGUCACUGCCAGAGCCUGACUUCCUACUAUGAAAAAGUGUUCGAGGAUCAUCAGAUUGGAGAAUCUGACCCAGUGGAACUUAAAAUAUACUUGGUCCAAAUGGCUUCAUCAAGAUUUGAGAAGUCAUCCAGGAGUGUUUGAAUCCAAGAGGACAUUUGUCUUCAGCACUCUAGUUGAAUUUUUUUCAAGGAGAAAGACAUUUCUCAAGCAGUGAACAUCCUUAUGGAUAUUGGAAUCAAUAUGAAGUUGGAAUCUUAGUCACCUAUGGAAACCUGGGCAUUUUUAGGGACACACUGGCAUUUCAAAGCACAAGAUUGAAUGUACAGAUGCAGUUCAAGUUAACAAUUGAGACUCAGAAUCAAAUCAAACAACAAUUCAUUUAUCAGAGUUUUUUCAGUUUUGUGGCUUGCUACAAAGUCAUUAGAUAUCUGUGAAGAACCAAGCUAUCUUUUCUUGUAAGAAAGUAGUACAUGCUCUUUCAAAUUUUAAAAACAGAUUUUUUUUCAGUUUCAAGUAUUUUCCCAAAUGUGUUUCUUAAAACUUUGUACUCUGCUACUAUAAAAACAAUUAUAGAGUUAGAAAAGUAUUUUUAAAAGAAAAAAAUUAAGAAAAUGGUCUAGGAUUUUUAGUUUGUGUCUUGUGCUCAGGGUUGCUUUUAGUUAUUGAAUAAAGACAUUUUUCUGCUAUUAAAAU
Molecule: non-coding RNA, 858 nt
Organism: Kogia breviceps (pygmy sperm whale)
Lineage: Eukaryota; Metazoa; Chordata; Mammalia; Artiodactyla; Physeteridae
Source: RefSeq, a predicted model, not a curated record